AACGAACGCUGGCGGCAUGCCUAACACAUGCAAGUCGAACGAGACCUUCGGGUCUAGUGGCGCACGGGUGCGUAACACGUGGGAAUCUGCCCUUUGCUUCGGAAUAACAGUUAGAAAUGACUGCUAAUACCGGAUGAUGUCGAAAGACCAAAGAUUUAUCGGCAAAGGAUGAGCCCGCGUAGGAUUAGGUAGUUGGUGGGGUAAAGGCCUACCAAGCCGACGAUCCUUAGCUGGUCUGAGAGGAUGAUCAGCCACACUGGGACUGAGACACGGCCCAGACUCCUACGGGAGGCAGCAGUGGGGAAUAUUGGAAAAUGGGCGAAAGGCUGAUCCAGCAAUGCCGCGGGAGUGAUGAAGGCCUUAGGGUUGUAAAGCUCUUUUACCAGGGAUGAUAAUGACAGUACCUGGAGAAUAAGCUCCGGCUAACUCCGUG
This 433-nucleotide ribosomal RNA is filed under the name uncultured bacterium. Its description in RNAcentral is "partial 16S ribosomal RNA". It matches the Rfam family "Bacterial small subunit ribosomal RNA", at positions 29 to 507 of the family's 1533-position model. The record is from RNAcentral.